UACAGAGGCCUCGAGCGUUAGGCGGAAUCACUGGGCUUAAAGCGUGUGUAGGCGGAUUGGUAAGUACCUUGUGAAAUCCCACAGCUUAACUGUGGAACUGCUCGGCAUACUGCUGAUCUUGAGCCACUCAGGGGCUACCGGAACAAAUGGUGGAGCGGUGAAAUGCGUAGAUAUCAUUUGGAACGCCAAUGGUGAAAACAGGUAGCUGGGGGUGUGCUGACGCUGAGACACGAAAGCCAGGGGAGCAAACGGG
RNAcentral lists this ribosomal RNA (253 nucleotides) under uncultured bacterium. Its description in RNAcentral is "partial 16S ribosomal RNA". It matches the Rfam family "Bacterial small subunit ribosomal RNA", at positions 524 to 776 of the family's 1533-position model. The record is from RNAcentral.